This 814-nucleotide ribosomal RNA is filed under the name uncultured bacterium. RNAcentral's name for it is "bacterial SSU rRNA". It matches the Rfam family "Bacterial small subunit ribosomal RNA", at positions 17 to 846 of the family's 1533-position model. The record is from RNAcentral.
UCCUGGCUAGGAGAACGCUGGCGGCCCGCCUAACACAUGCAAGUCGAACGAGAGAUGAGGAGCUUGCUCUUCAAAUCGAGUGGCGAACGGGUGAGUAACGCGUGAGGAACCUGCCUCAAAGAGGGGGACAACAGUUGGAAACGACUGCUAAUACCGCAUAAGCCCACGGCUCGGCAUCGAGCAGAGGGAAAAGGAGCAAUCCGCUUUGAGAUGGCCUCGCGUCCGAUUAGCUAGUUGGUGAGGUAACGGCCCACCAAGGCGACGAUCGGUAGCCGGACUGAGAGGUUGAACGGCCACAUUGGGACUGAGACACGGCCCAGACUCCUACGGGAGGCAGCAGUGGGGAAUAUUGCACAAUGGGGGAAACCCUGAUGCAGCGACGCCGCGUGGAGGAAGAAGGUCUUCGGAUUGUAAACUCCUGUUGUUGAGGAAGAUAAUGACGGUACUCAACAAGGAAGUGACGGCUAACUACGUGCCAGCAGCCGCGGUAAAACGUAGGUCACAAGCGUUGUCCGGAAUUACUGGGUGUAAAGGGAGCGCAGGCGGGAGAACAAGUUGGAAGUGAAAUCCAUGGGCUCAACCCAUGAACUGCUUUCAAAACUGUUUUUCUUGAGUAGUGCAGAGGUAGGCGGAAUUCCCGGUGUAGCGGUGGAAUGCGUAGAUAUCGGGAGGAACACCAGUGGCGAAGGCGGCCUACUGGGCACCAACUGACGCUGAGGCUCGAAAGUGUGGGUAGCAAACAGGAUUAGAUACCCUGGUAGUCCACACCGUAAACGAUGAUUACUAGGUGUUGGAGGAUUGACCCCUUCAGUGC